Molecule: ribosomal RNA, 460 nt
Filed under: uncultured bacterium
Lineage: Bacteria
Description: partial 16S ribosomal RNA
Rfam family: Bacterial small subunit ribosomal RNA
Source: RNAcentral
CCUACGGGGGGCAGCAGUGAGGAAUAUUGGUCAAUGGACGAGAGUCUGAACCAGCCAAGUAGCGUGAAGGAUGACUGCCCUAUGGGUUGUAAACUUCUUUUAUAUGGGAAUAAAAUGUUCCACGUGUGGGAUUUUGUAUGUACCAUAUGAAUAAGGAUCGGCUAACUCCGUGCCAGCAGCCGCGGUAAUACGGAGGAUCCGAGCGUUAUCCGGAUUUAUUGGGUUUAAAGGGAGCGUAGGUGGAUUGUUAAGUCAGUUGUGAAAGUUUGCGGCUCAACCGUAAAAUUGCAGUUGAAACUGGCAGUCUUGAGUACAGUAGAGGUGGGCGGAAUUCGUGAUGUAGCGGUGAAAUGCUUAGAUAUCACGAAGAACUCCGAUUGCGAAGGCAGUUCACUGGACUGCAACUGACACUGAGGCUCGAAAGUGUGGGUAUCAAACAGGAUUAGAUACCCGGGUAGUC